RNAcentral lists this ribosomal RNA (497 nucleotides) under uncultured bacterium. Its description in RNAcentral is "partial 16S ribosomal RNA". It matches the Rfam family "Bacterial small subunit ribosomal RNA", at positions 28 to 507 of the family's 1533-position model. The record is from RNAcentral.
GAUGAACGCUGGCGGCGUGCCUAAUACAUGCAAGUCGAGCGAACAGACGAGGAGCUUGCUCCUCUGACGUUAGCGGCGGACGGGUGAGUAACACGUGGAUAACCUACCUAUAAGACUGGGAUAAAUUCGGGAAACCGGAGCUAAUACCGGAUAAUAAAUUGAACCGCAUGGUUCAAUAGUGAAAGACGGUUUUGCUGUCACUUAUAGAUGGAUCCGCGCCGCAUUAGCUAGUUGGUAAGGUAACGGCUUACCAAGGCAACGAUGCGUAGCCGACCUGAGAGGGUGAUCGGCCACACUGGAACUGAGACACGGUCCAGACUCCUACGGGAGGCAGCAGUAGGGAAUCUUCCGCAAUGGGCGAAAGCCUGACGGAGCAACGCCGCGUGAGUGAUGAAGGUCUUCGGAUCGUAAAACUCUGUUAUUAGGGAAGAACAAAUGUGUAAGUAACUAUGCACGUCUUGACGGUACCUAAUCAGAAAGCCACGGCUAACUACGUG